AACUUCGUGGUCGAGUGUUAAGGAUACUUGCCUCUCACUCUAGAGUCCCCGGUUCAAUCCCCGGUCGAGGAGCUA
Molecule: transfer RNA, 75 nt
Filed under: Rhamnusium bicolor
Lineage: Eukaryota; Metazoa; Arthropoda; Insecta; Coleoptera; Cerambycidae
Description: tRNA-OTHER
Source: RNAcentral